UGGGGAAUUUUGGACAAUGGGCGAAAGCCUGAUCCAGCAAUGCCGCGUGUGUGAAGAAGGCCUUCGGGUUGUAAAGCACUUUUGUCCGGAAAGAAAUCCUCUGGGUUAAUACCUCGGGGGGAUGACGGUACCGGAAGAAUAAGCACCGGCUAACUACGUGCCAGCAGCCGCGGUAAUACGUAGGGUGCAAGCGUUAAUCGGAAUUACUGGGCGUAAAGCGUGCGCAGGCGGUUUUGUAAGACGGAUGUGAAAUCCCCCGGGCUUAACCUGGGAACUGCAUUCGUGACUGCAAGGCUAGAGUAUGGCAGAGGGGGGUAGAAUUCCACGUGUGAGCAGUGAAAUGCGUAGAGAUGUGGAGGAAUACCGAUGGCGAAGGCAGCCCCCUGGGCCAAUACUGACGCUCAUGCACGAAAGCGUGGGGAGCAAACAGGAUUAGAUACCCUGGUAGUCCACGCCCUAAACGAUGUCAACUAG
Molecule: ribosomal RNA, 474 nt
Filed under: uncultured bacterium
Lineage: Bacteria
Description: partial 16S ribosomal RNA
Rfam family: Bacterial small subunit ribosomal RNA
Source: RNAcentral